CUCCUAACGGGAGGCAGCAGUGGGAAUCUUGCACAAUGGACGAAAGUCUGAUGCAGCGACGCCGCGUGAGCGAUGAAGCCCUUCGGGGUGUAAAGGCUCUUUCGACGGGAACGAUAAUGACGGUACCCGGAGAACGAAGCUGCGGCUAACUACGUGCCAGCAGCCGCGGUAAUAC
This 175-nucleotide ribosomal RNA is filed under the name uncultured bacterium. RNAcentral describes it as "partial 16S ribosomal RNA". It matches the Rfam family "Bacterial small subunit ribosomal RNA", at positions 335 to 526 of the family's 1533-position model. The record is from RNAcentral.